CAAACGACUCUCGGCAACGGAUAUCUCGGCUCAUGCAUCGAUGAAGAACGUAGCGAAAUGCGAUACUUGGUGUGAAUUGCAGAAUCCCGUGAACCAUCGAGUUUUUGAACGCAAGUUGCGCCCGAAGCCAUUCGGCCGAGGGCACGUCUGCCUGGGCGUCACAC
Molecule: ribosomal RNA, 164 nt
Filed under: Scaevola filifolia
Lineage: Eukaryota; Viridiplantae; Streptophyta; Magnoliopsida; Asterales; Goodeniaceae
Also listed under: 35 other names
Description: Diaspasis filifolia 5.8S ribosomal RNA
Rfam family: 5.8S ribosomal RNA
About the family: 5.8S ribosomal RNA (5.8S rRNA) is a component of the large subunit of the eukaryotic ribosome.
Source: RNAcentral